GGGGUAUUAGCGCAGCUGGGAGCGCGCAACAUCCGCAAUGUUGAGGCCACGGGUUCGAAUCCCGUAUACUCCA
RNAcentral lists this transfer RNA (73 nucleotides) under Lachnospiraceae bacterium. RNAcentral describes it as "tRNA-Ala". It matches the Rfam family "tRNA". From Rfam's summary of the family: Transfer RNA (tRNA) molecules are approximately 80 nucleotides in length. Their secondary structure includes four short double-helical elements and three loops (D, anti-codon, and T loops). Lineage: Bacteria; Bacillati; Bacillota; Clostridia; Lachnospirales; Lachnospiraceae. The record is from RNAcentral.